Molecule: non-coding RNA, 100 nt
Organism: Ciona savignyi (Pacific transparent sea squirt)
Lineage: Eukaryota; Metazoa; Chordata; Ascidiacea; Phlebobranchia; Cionidae
Source: Rfam
GCUUAUCACCAUUCCAGAUUGAAUAUACCCGAUCUCGUCUGAUCUCGGAAGUCAAGCAAUCUCGGGCUUGGUUAGUACUUGGAUGGGUGACCGCUUGGGA